UACGUAGGGUGCGAGCGUUGUCCGGAUUUAUUGGGCGUAAAGGGCUCGUAGGCGGUCUGUCGCGUCUGCUGUGAAAACUCAGGGCUUAACCCUGAGCUUGCAGUGGGUACGGGCAGACUAGAGUGCGGUAGGGGAGACUGGAAUUCCUGGUGUAGCGGUGAAAUGCGCAGAUAUCAGGAGGAACACCGGUGGCGAAGGCGGUUCUCUGGGCCUGUACUGACGCUGAGGAGCGAAAGCGUGGGGAGCGAACAGG
Molecule: ribosomal RNA, 253 nt
Filed under: uncultured bacterium
Lineage: Bacteria
Description: partial 16S ribosomal RNA
Rfam family: Bacterial small subunit ribosomal RNA
Source: RNAcentral